RNAcentral lists this ribosomal RNA (445 nucleotides) under uncultured bacterium. Its description in RNAcentral is "partial 16S ribosomal RNA". It matches the Rfam family "Bacterial small subunit ribosomal RNA", at positions 354 to 796 of the family's 1533-position model. The record is from RNAcentral.
GUGAGGAAUAUUGGACAAUGGGCGCAAGCCUGAUCCAGCCAUGCCGCGUGCAGGAAGACGCAUCUAUGGUGUGUAAACUGCUUUUGUACGGGAAGAAACACUCCCUCGUGAGGGAGCUUGACGGUACCGUAAGAAUAAGGAUCGGCUAACUCCGUGCCAGCAGCCGCGGUAAUACGGAGGAUCCAAGCGUUAUCCGGAAUCAUUGGGUUUAAAGGGUCCGUAGGCGGUUUAAUAAGUCAGUGGUGAAAGCCCAUCGCUCAACGAUGGAACGGCCAUUGAUACUGUGAGACUUGAAUUACAAGGAAGUAACUAGAAUAUGUAGUGUAGCGGUGAAAUGCUUAGAUAUUACAUGGAAUACCAAUUGCGAAGGCAGGUUACUACUUGUGGAUUGACGCUGAUGGACGAAAGCGUGGGGAGCGAACAGGAUUAGAAACCCCUGUAGUCC